GUUGGUGAACCAGCGGAGGGAUCAUUACCGAGUUUUUACAACUCCCAACCCUAUGUGAACCUUACCAAUCGUUGCUUCGGCGGAACGCCCCGCGGCCCCUCGGGGUCCGGACCCAGGCGCCCGCCGAGGAACCCAAACUCUUCUGUUUUUUAGUUGUAUCUUCUGAGUGGAUUUAAACAAAUGAAUCAAAACUUUCAACAACGGAUCUCUUGGUUCUG
Molecule: unclassified non-coding RNA, 218 nt
Filed under: rhizosphere metagenome
Description: partial ribosomal RNA internal transcribed spacer region
Source: RNAcentral